AAUCAACGCUGGCGGCGUGCCUAACACAUGCAAGUCGCACGAGAAAGUGGAGCAAUCCAUGAGUAAAGUGGCGCACGGGUGAGUAACACGUGAAUAAUCUACCUCCGAGUGGGGAAUAACUUCGGGAAACCGAGGCUAAUACCGCAUAACACUUACGAGUCAAAGCAGCAAUGCGCUUGGAGAGGAGUUCGCGGCAGAUU
This 200-nucleotide ribosomal RNA is filed under the name uncultured bacterium. Its description in RNAcentral is "partial 16S ribosomal RNA". It matches the Rfam family "Bacterial small subunit ribosomal RNA", at positions 32 to 242 of the family's 1533-position model. The record is from RNAcentral.